UUGUCGCAUGCUAAUGCCGAUGGUAAAUACGCGCGAGCAGGUGAAGCGAAAUUCACGAAAUAAAUUGUUGCACAGAGUGAAUUCGAUAAUGACUGAGAACGACGUGGACAACGAGCUCUUAGACUACGAGGAGGAUGAGGUGGAUGCGACAGGAGGUGUCGGGGACGGAGGGCUCGCUGGAGACGGCAGCACCGUGGCCUUGAGGAAAGAAGGACUGAAAGGCUCUUAUGUUUCCAUCCACUCCUCAGGGUUCAGGGACUUCCUGUUAAAGCCUGAGCUCCUCAGGGCCAUCGUGGACUGCGGCUUCGAGCAUCCGUCCGAAGUUCAGCAUGAGUGCAUUCCACAAGCCAUCUUGGGCAUGGAUGUGUUGUGCCAGGCCAAGUCGGGUAUGGGGAAGACGGCCGUCUUUGUCUUGGCGACACUCCAGCAGCUGGAACCAGUGACUGGACAGGUUUCAGUGCUGGUGAUGUGCCAUACCCGAGAGCUGGCAUUCCAGAUCAGCAAAGAGUACGAGCGCUUCUCCAAGUACAUGCCUACUGUCAAGGUGGCGGUGUUCUUUGGCGGUUUGCCUAUAAAGAAGGAUGAGGAGACGCUGAAGAGAGAGAGUCCUCACAUAGUGGUGGGAACGCCUGGCCGCAUCCUGGCUCUUUCACGCAACAAGAGUCUCAACCUGCGCCACAUCAAACACUUCAUCCUGGACGAGUGUGACAAGAUGCUGGAACAGCUUGACAUGCGUCGUGACGUUCAGGAGAUUUUCCGCAUGACCCCGCACGAGAAGCAGGUCAUGAUGUUCAGCGCCACCUUGAGCAAAGAAAUCCGGCCCGUCUGCCGAAAGUUCAUGCAAGAUCCCAUGGAGAUAUUUGUGGACGACGAGACCAAGCUGACCCUGCACGGCCUGCAGCAGUACUACGUCAAGCUGAAGGACAACGAGAAGAACAGGAAACUGUUUGAUCUGCUGGACGUGCUCGAGUUCAACCAGGUGGUAAUCUUUGUGAAGUCAGUGCAGCGCUGCAUCGCUCUGGCGCAGCUGCUGGUGGAGCAGAACUUCCCCGCCAUCGCCAUCCACAGAGCAAUGCCUCAGGAGGAGAGGCUCGCUCGAUAUCAGCAGUUUAAAGACUUUCAGAGACGCAUCCUCGUGGCCACUAACCUGUUCGGCAGAGGAAUGGACAUCGAAAGGGUCAACAUCGCCUUUAACUACGACAUGCCCGAGGAUUCAGACACGUACCUGCACAGGGUUGGUGGCCAGGGCGGGCAGGUUCGGCACAAAAGGUCUAGCCAUCACGUUCGUGUCGGAUGAAGGCGAUGCCCGAACGCUGAAUGACGUUCAGGACAGGUUCGAGGUGAACAUCAGCGAACUUCCAGAGGAGAUCGACAUCUCGUCUUACAUCGAGCAGACGCGGUAAAGCGUGACGUCGUGGAGAAGAGGCGGCGCGUGUGGAGAGGACGCCUGGGAGGAGCAGCACUCAGUAGCCUGCGUUUCACACAGACUGUUAGUGAAGUUUAGUGAGAAUGUAAACCUGAACAAAGAAAAAUCUGUAGAUCUAUAAUCCAACACUUACACGGGUUCUUAAAUGCCUCUGAAACGUCUCUGAUGCUUUUAUAUAUAUAUAUAUAUGUGUGUGUGUGUGUGUGUGUGUGUGUG
Ictalurus furcatus (blue catfish) is the source of this 1642-nucleotide RNA transcript. It is a transcript of the gene named DEAD (Asp-Glu-Ala-Asp) box polypeptide 39B, with no coding region annotated. Lineage: Eukaryota; Metazoa; Chordata; Actinopteri; Siluriformes; Ictaluridae. The transcript has 11 exons. The record is from RefSeq and is a predicted model, not a curated record.